RNAcentral lists this transfer RNA (77 nucleotides) under Microbacteriaceae bacterium. Its description in RNAcentral is "tRNA-Gly". The stretch from base 3 to 68 matches the Rfam family "tRNA". Rfam says of the family: Transfer RNA (tRNA) molecules are approximately 80 nucleotides in length. Lineage: Bacteria; Bacillati; Actinomycetota; Actinomycetes; Micrococcales; Microbacteriaceae. The record is from RNAcentral.
GCGGAUGUAGCUCAAUGGUAGAGCCUCAGUCUUCCAAACUGAUGGUGCGGGUUCGAUUCCCGACAGCCUGGGCACCA